RNAcentral lists this ribosomal RNA (730 nucleotides) under uncultured Bacilli bacterium. RNAcentral describes it as "bacterial SSU rRNA". It matches the Rfam family "Bacterial small subunit ribosomal RNA", at positions 38 to 749 of the family's 1533-position model. The record is from RNAcentral. Lineage: Bacteria; Bacillati; Bacillota; Bacilli.
GGCGGCGUGCCUAAUACAUGCAAGUCGAGCGGACCGACGGGAGCUUGCUCCCUUAGGUCAGCGGCGGACGGGUGAGUAACACGUGGGUAACCUGCCUGUAAGACUGGGAUAACUCCGGGAAACCGGGGCUAAUACCGGAUGCUUGAUUGAGCCGCAUGGUUCAAUUAUAAAAGGUGGCUUUCAGCUACCACUUACAGAUGGACCCGCGGCGCAUUAGCUAGUUGGUGAGGUAACGGCUCACCAAGGCGACGAUGCGUAGCCGACCUGAGAGGGUGAUCGGCCACACUGGGACUGAGACACGGCCCAGACUCCUACGGGAGGCAGCAGUAGGGAAUCUUCCGCAAUGGACGAAAGUCUGACGGAGCAACGCCGCGUGAGUGAUGAAGGUUUUCGGAUCGUAAAACUCUGUUGUUAGGGAAGAACAAGUACCGUUCGAAUAGGGCGGCACCUUGACGGUACCUAACCAGAAAGCCACGGCUAACUACGUGCCAGCAGCCGCGGUAAUACGUAGGUGGCAAGCGUUGUCCGGAAUUAUUGGGCGUAAAGCGCGCGCAGGCGGUUUCUUAAGUCUGAUGUGAAAGCCCCCGGCUCAACCGGGGAGGGUCAUUGGAAACUGGGGAACUUGAGUGCAGAAGAGGAGAGUGGAAUUCCACGUGUAGCGGUGAAAUGCGUAGAGAUGUGGAGGAACACCAGUGGCGAAGGCGACUCUCUGGUCUGUAACUGACGCUGA